GAUUAAGAACGCAGCGAAAUGCGAUAAGUAAUGUGAAUUGCAGAAUUCAGUGAAUCAUCGAAUCUUUGAACGCACAUUGCGCCCUCUGGUAUUCCGGGGGGCAUGCCUGUUCGAGCGUCAUUAUAACCACUCAAGCUUUCGCUUGGUAUUGGGGCUCGCGGUUCCGCGGCCCCUAAAAUCAGUGGCGGUGCCUGUCGGCUCUACGCGUAGUAAUACUCCUCGCGAUUGAGUCCGGUAGGUCUACUUGCCAGCAACCCCCAAUUUUUACUGGUUGACCUCGGAUCAGGUAGGGAUACCCGCUGAACUUAAGCAUAUCAAUAAGCGGAGGA
Molecule: unclassified non-coding RNA, 329 nt
Filed under: soil metagenome
Description: partial contains 5.8S ribosomal RNA, internal transcribed spacer 2, and large subunit ribosomal RNA
Rfam family: 5.8S ribosomal RNA (bases 1-120)
Source: RNAcentral